This is a ribosomal RNA of Nitritalea halalkaliphila LW7, 1780 nucleotides long. It matches the Rfam family "Bacterial large subunit ribosomal RNA", at positions 1113 to 2925 of the family's 2925-position model. NCBI's taxonomy places the organism in Bacteria, Pseudomonadati, Bacteroidota, Cytophagia, Cytophagales, Cyclobacteriaceae. The record is from Rfam.
CAGCUAUUCCUUUAAAGAGUGCGUAACAGCUCACUGGUCGAGCGGCAGGGCGUCGAUAAUAAUCGGGCAUCAAGCGCGAUACCGAAGCGUAGGAUGGUCUACGAGAGUAGAUUAUGGUAGGGGAGCAUUCUAAUGACGGCGAAGGUAGAUGGUGAUGUUUACUGGAGUGAUUAGAAAAGCAAAUGUAGGCAUAAGUAACGAUAAUGCGGGCGAGAAACCCGCACACCGAUAGACCAAGGUUUCUGAUCAACGCUAAUCGGAUCAGGGUUAGUCGGGUCCUAAGGCGAACCCGCGAGGGCAGUCGAUGGCCAAUGGGUUAAUAUUCCCAUACCGUUCAUACAGGUGAUGGAGUGACGGAGUACUGAAAGGCUUGCCAACUGACGGAAUAGUUGGUUAAAGGGUGUAGGUAUUGGAUUAGGAGUAAAAUGCACUGAUCUAGCUGAACCUGAUAGUACCGCGCGUCUACGGACAAGCGGAUAAUAGCCGUAAGGACUUCCAAGAAAAACUUCUAGCGUUAAGCGUAUGAAUGCCCGUACCGCAAACCGACACAGGUGGUCAAGGAGAGAAUCCUAAGGUGCUCGAGUGAAUCAUGGCUAAGGAACUCGGCAAAAUGGCCCUGUAACUUCGGGAGAAGGGGCGCCACACGCGAGUGUGGCCGCAGUGAAGAGGCCCAGGCGACUGUUUAUCAAAAACACAUGGCUUUGCGAAGUUGAAAGACUAAGUAUAAGGCCUGACACCUGCCCGGUGCCGGAAGGUUAAGAGGGGGCGUUAUCGCAAGAGAAGCGCUGAAUUGAAGCCCCGGUAAACGGCGGCCGUAACUAUAACGGUCCUAAGGUAGCGAAAUUCCUUGUCGGGUAAGUUCCGACCUGCACGAAUGGUGUAACGAUCUGGCGCUGUCUCAGCCAUGAGCUCGGUGAAAUUGUAGUCGCGGUGAAGAUGCCGCGUACCCGCAACGGGACGGAAAGACCCCAUGAACCUUUACUGCAGCUUAGUAUUGGUAUUGGGUAAACGAUGUGUAGGAUAGGUGGGAGACUGUGAAGUGGCGUCGCUAGGCGUUGUGGAGUCGCCGUUGAAAUACCACCCUUUGUUUGCUUGGUAUCUAAUCCGCCUGUGGCGGAGACAUUGCUUGGUGGGUAGUUUGACUGGGGUGGUCGCCUCCAAAAGGAUAACGGAGGCUUCCAAAGGUUCCCUCAGCACGCUUGGUAACCGUGCGUGGAGUGCAAUAGCAUAAGGGAGCUUGACUGUGAGGCCGACAAGCCGAACAGGGUGGAAACACGGGUAUAGUGAUCCGGCGGUACUGCAUGGAAAGGCCGUCGCUCAAAGGAUAAAAGGUACUCUGGGGAUAACAGGCUGAUCUCCCCCAAGAGCUCAUAUCGACGGGGAGGUUUGGCACCUCGAUGUCGGCUCGUCACAUCCUGGGGCUGGAGAAGGUCCCAAGGGUUGGGCUGUUCGCCCAUUAAAGUGGCACGCGAGCUGGGUUCAGAACGUCGUGAGACAGUUCGGUCCCUAUCUGUUGCGGGCGUGGGAAGUUUGAGGAGACCUGACCUUAGUACGAGAGGACCGGGUUGGACUGACCGCUGGUGUACCGGUUGUGGUGCCAACUGCACUGCCGGGUAGCUACGUCGGGAAGAGAUAAGCGCUGAAAGCAUCUAAGUGCGAAACUCCCUCCAAGAUGAGACUUCCAAACAGGGACGUCAGAGACGAUGACGUUGAUAGGCUGCAGGUGUAAAGUCAGCAAUGGCAUAGCUGAGCAGUACUAAUGACCCGAAAACUUACGUUA